GACGAACGCUGGCGGCGUGCUUAACACAUGCAAGUCGAACGGAAAGGCCCUGCUUUUGUGGGGUGCUCGAGUGGCGAACGGGUGAGUAACACGUGAGUAACCUGCCCUUGACUUUGGGAUAACUUCAGGAAACUGGGACUAAUACCGGGUAGGAGCUCCUGCUGCAUGGUGGGGGUUGGACAGUUUCGGCGGUUGGGGGUGGACGCCCGGCUUAUCAGCUUGUUUGUGGGGUGGUGGCUUACCAAGGCUUUUACGGGUAGCCGGCCUGGGCGGGUGAUCGGCCACAUUGGGACGGGGAUGCGGCCCAGACCCCUACGGGAGGCAGCGGUGGAGAAUGUUACACAAUGGGCGGAAGCCUGAUGCAGCAACGCCGCGUGCGGGAUGACGGCCUGCGGGUUGUAAACCGCUUUCGCCUGUGACGAAGCGUGAGUGACGGUAAUGGGUAAAGAAGCACCGGCUAACUACGUG
Molecule: ribosomal RNA, 468 nt
Filed under: uncultured bacterium
Lineage: Bacteria
Description: partial 16S ribosomal RNA
Rfam family: Bacterial small subunit ribosomal RNA
Source: RNAcentral